GGUGGUCUCUAUACAUGGAUACAAAAAUCUCUCACUCUCUCAACUACAAAAAGAAAGAGUAAACCACCUAGGCAAAGUACCGCUCCUCGCUAGCUAGCUAAGCGAUCCCCUUGCCGCGAUCCCGUGCCUCCGCCGGUGCCGAAGGCUCUGAAAAGUAAACCAUAAAAUAGGGGCGUGAGAACUAUUAAAAAUAGUUCCCAGUGGGCAAUUACUGAUUUCAGUGAAUGCACCACAAGGCCCAAAGCUACAAAAGAUGUCAGUGACUAUAAAUGUAGAAAAGCGAAAGGUAAAAAAAAAAAUGUAACCUACUACAACAUGAUAUCUUUACUUAGCAUAAUUAGCAUAAGUAUGAAAGCAACUAUGCAUGAAGUAAAAGUCUCCAACUAUCAUAAUGUUCACAAUGCGAAAUAGUAAAGUUCCGUUGUUUACUAUUCUAGUCAAUGUCCAAGUAAUACUCUAAGUCAUCAUCUGUCCACAUGUCAUAAUGAAUACUCAAGUCAAAUCUGAAGAGACCCACCCGAAGGCUGUCUAUGGCCCUGAGACCCACCCGUAGGCUGUCUGGCCGGUGCCGCGCCUAAUGGCCCCGUGGUAGUCAUCAUCCCCACCCUAGGAAUGAGCCUGGCCCACGGCAAUCCACUUCGGCGCCCAAUCCCGCACGGCGAAUAUGAAUCGCGAUGGCUAUCUCCGGAGUGCCGGCUUGUAGGGAGCGACCCUCACAAGCAUGUGCGAAUGAGCACAAUGGCAAGUAGUCAAACGAUCUGUCGCAAGUACCAAGUCCUCAUGUCUAUUAACAUGGAAUGUGUCAAGUAUCUCAAUGGCCUAUCUCUAUGUCAUUAUGUCUCUAACAUGGAAUAUAGCAGAUAUGUAGUGGCCUAUCAAUAUGUCUCUACGUUGCAGUUUCAUAGUUUACUAGUUUCAAGUGCCCCUUUAUGACACUCUUGUUCUCUAUGUCAAAGCAUGGCAACUAUAUUCCAAAGUACAUAUUCCAAGUCAUAAUCCUCAUAAGAGAUGUAUUUUCCACUUGCAAAAUAAACACUUUUCCCGUAUGAAUGCAUUCUACUCAUAUAGCUCUACUAUAUAGUGAAAUUUUCAUAAUACACAAGGCAUGAAUUUUAAGUGCUCUAAAAUUCAUAUAAAUUUCAUUUAGCAUGGAAAUGAAUUUAAAAAUAUUUUACAACAAGUAGAAAGGGCAUAGGGGCCAUUUCGCCCCAUCUC
Molecule: long non-coding RNA, 1215 nt
Filed under: Ananas comosus (pineapple)
Lineage: Eukaryota; Viridiplantae; Streptophyta; Magnoliopsida; Poales; Bromeliaceae
Description: long non-coding RNA (ACOM_LNC035173)
Source: RNAcentral